Chiroxiphia lanceolata (lance-tailed manakin) is the source of this 359-nucleotide long non-coding RNA. RefSeq lists it as uncharacterized. Lineage: Eukaryota; Metazoa; Chordata; Aves; Passeriformes; Pipridae. The record is from RefSeq and is a predicted model, not a curated record. The transcript is spliced from 2 exons.
UGGUGGAGACUUCAUUGUUCAUGGAGACCCAAAGCAUAGAAAAAGCAAGUUUAGCUGGACUUGUAUUGUCUUUACUUUCAGAUUCAAAGAGAGGAUCACAGCAAGUCAAUGGAAGAUCACGAAGCAAUCUCAUCUUGGAUUGUAUUUUGAAUUUGAUUAUGUUAGAAAUGACUCUUUGUAAGGACUCAUCUCCAUGUGACUCCUGGCCCUGCUUCCAUCAAACCUUCAGCAAUCUCGUGGCUUUCCUGGGAUGCUUCUACACAAACUGCUUUGACUUAUCUCCAUUCUGUAUGGUUUUAAUUCAGCCCAAUGGUAUUUCACACUGGUUUCACUGCAAGAAUUAAAUAUGUCUUGUGUCA